UGCAGCUGCACUACAAGUUCCCUUCAAGUGGGCAACAACCUGAGGGAUAAAGAACUCAUUAUGCAGCAAAACUGCUGACUCUUCUGGAUGAUAUUGGAACAUGCGCCUUUCCUGCCUCCUCUUUAAUUAUCAGUUUGAUGAAGACCCAGUAAUCGGCCAAAGUUUUCUGCUCAGAUUUCCUUGGAAAAUGAGACUAGGAGUUGGAAGACUUCUAACUUGUGUUGCAAGCUCAAGAUCCUAGCAAAAAAAGACGAAUGAAAGAGAGUUUGGGUUGUUGACCAAACCUUGUUCCAGGUGCUCUGACUGGCGAUUAGCAUGUCACCAUGGAAUUCCAGCCCCAGAAACCAAAUGUAAGAUCCAAAGGAAAAAAUUGCCUCACAA
This 381-nucleotide long non-coding RNA is filed under the name Chinchilla lanigera (long-tailed chinchilla). RNAcentral describes it as "lncRNA (ENSCLAG00000027765.1)". The record is from RNAcentral. Lineage: Eukaryota; Metazoa; Chordata; Mammalia; Rodentia; Chinchillidae.